This 422-nucleotide ribosomal RNA is filed under the name uncultured bacterium. RNAcentral's name for it is "bacterial SSU rRNA". It matches the Rfam family "Bacterial small subunit ribosomal RNA", at positions 360 to 773 of the family's 1533-position model. The record is from RNAcentral.
AAUUGUUCGCAAUGGGCGCAAGCCUGACGACGCAACGCCGCGUGGAGGAUGAAGAUCUUCGGGUCGUAAACUCCUGUCGAGCGGGACGAACACUUACCGGGCUAACAUCCGGGUAGGCCGACGGUACCGCUAAAGGAAGCCCCGGCUAACUUCGUGCCAGCAGCCGCGGUAAGACGAAGGGGGCUAGCGUUGUUCGGAAUUACUGGGCGUAAAGCGAGUGUAGGUGGUUGUCAUAGUCAGGUGUGAAAGCCUUGAGCUCAACUCAAGAAAUGCACUUGAUACUGGGCGACUAGAGGACCGGAGAGGAUAGUGGAAUUCCCAGUGUAGUGGUGAAAUACGUAGAGAUUGGGAAGAACACCAGUGGCGAAGGCGGCUAUCUGGACAGUUUCUGACACUAAGACUCGAAAGCGUGGGGAGCAAAC